This 898-nucleotide ribosomal RNA is filed under the name Trichothecium crotocinigenum. RNAcentral's name for it is "LSU rRNA". It matches the Rfam family "Eukaryotic large subunit ribosomal RNA", at positions 38 to 966 of the family's 3401-position model. Lineage: Eukaryota; Fungi; Ascomycota; Sordariomycetes; Hypocreales. The record is from RNAcentral.
GCAUAUCAAUAAGCGGAGGAAAAAGAAACCAACAGGGAUUGCCCUAGUAACGGCGAGUGAAGCGGCAACAGCUCAAAUUUGAAAGCUGGCUCUCGGGCCCGCAUUGUAAUUUGCAGAGGAUGCUUCUGGCGACGCGCCUUCCGAGUUCCCUGGAACGGGACGCCAUAGAGGGUGAGAGCCCCGUCCGGUCGUGCGCCUAGCCUCUGUGAAGCUCCUUCGACGAGUCGAGUAGUUUGGGAAUGCUGCUCAAAAUGGGAGGUAUACGUCUUCUAAAGCUAAAUACCGGCCAGAGACCGAUAGCGCACAAGUAGAGUGAUCGAAAGAUGAAAAGCACUUUGAAAAGAGAGUUAAAAAGUACGUGAAAUUGUUGAAAGGGAAGCGCUCAUGACCAGACUUGGGCUGGCUCGAUCAUCCGGCGUUCUCGCCGGUGCACUCGGGCCGCUCAGGCCAGCAUCAGCUUCCGCCGGGGGAUAAAGGCGGUGGGAAUGUGGCUCCCUCGGGAGUGUUAUAGCCCGCCGUGCAAUACCCUGGUGGGGGCUGAGGUUCGCGCGUAUGCACGGAUGCUGGCGUAAUGGUCAUCAGCGACCCGUCUUGAAACACGGACCAAGGAGUCGUCUUCGUAUGCGAGUGUUCGGGUGUCAAACCCCUACGCGGAAUGAAAGUGAACGCUGGUGAGAGCUUCGGCGCAUCACCGACCGAUCCUGAUGUUCUCGGAUGGAUUUGAGUAAGAGCAUACGGGGCCGGACCCGAAAGAAGGUGAACUAUGCCUGUAUAGGGUGAAGCCAGAGGAAACUCUGGUGGAGGCUCGCAGCGGUUCUGACGUGCAAAUCGAUCGUCAAAUAUGGGCAUGGGGGGCGAAAGACUAAUCGAMCCUUCUAGUAGCUGGUUUCCGCCGAAG